RNAcentral lists this ribosomal RNA (5901 nucleotides) under Triticum aestivum (bread wheat). RNAcentral describes it as "partial small subunit ribosomal RNA". The stretch from base 3560 to 3640 matches the Rfam family "Small nucleolar RNA J33". Lineage: Eukaryota; Viridiplantae; Streptophyta; Magnoliopsida; Poales; Poaceae. The record is from RNAcentral.
AUGGCGGCGCCGGGGGGGAGGAGGGCGGACUUCUCCUCGGCCGCGUCGCCGGGGGGGCCGUCGCCGGCGGGGGCGUCGUCCGCGGGGAGGCGGCUGCUGCGCACGCAGACCGUCGGCAACAUGGGGGAGUCCAUCUUCGACAGCGAGGUCGUGCCCUCCUCGCUCGUCGAGAUCGCGCCCAUCCUCCGGGUCGCCAACGAGGUCGAGGCCGGCAACCCGCGCGUCGCAUACCUCUGCCGCUUCUACGCCUUCGAGAAGGCCCACCGGCUCGACCCCACCUCCAGCGGCCGUGGAGUGCGCCAGUUCAAGACCGCGCUGCUGCAAAGGCUCGAGAGGGAGAACGACCCGACGCUCAAGGGGAGGGUGCACCAGAGCGACGCGCGCGAGAUGCAGCGCUUCUACCGCGAGUACUACAAGAAGUACAUCCAGGCGCUCCAGAACGCCGCCGACAAGGCCGACCGUGCCCUGCUCACUAAAGCGUACCAGACUGCCGCGGUCUUGUUCGAGGUCUUGAAAGCCGUUAACGUGUCGCAGUCCGUUGAAGUCGACCAGGCGAUUCUGGACACGCACAACAAAAUCGAGGAGAAGAAGAAGCUCUAUGUGCCUUACAAUAUCCUGCCUCUCGAUCCUGAAAGUACCGAUCAAGCUAUAAUGCAAAACCCGGAGAUUCAAGCUGCUGUCUACGCUCUUCGCAAUAUAAGAGGCCUGCCGUGGCCCAAGGACAAGGAGCAGGAAAAGAAGCAGGAAAAGAAGCCUGAUGAGAAGAAGACCGAUAGAGAUCUUCUCGACUGGCUUCAGGCUAUGUUUGGGUUUCAGAAAGACAAUGUAGCCAACCAAAGGGAACAUCUCAUCCUGUUACUUGCAAAUGUACACAUAAGGCAGAUACCAAAGCCUGAACAGCAAUCUAAGUUGGAUGACAGGGCUCUGGAUUAUGUAAUGAAGAAGCUAUUUAAGAGUUAUAAGAUGUGGUGCAAGUACCUUGGCCGCAAAAGCAGUUUAUGGUUGCCAACUAUCCAACAGGAAGUUCAGCAACGCAAGCUUCUCUAUAUGGGUCUCUACCUUUUGAUUUGGGGCGAGGCGGCUAACUUGAGAUUCAUGCCAGAGUGUCUUUGCUACAUAUACCAUCAUAUGGCUUUUGAGCUCUAUGGUAUGUUGGCUGGAAACGUGAGCCCAAUGACUGGUGAAAAUGUUAAACCAGCUUAUGGUGGUGAUGAAGAGGCAUUCUUGAUGAAAGUUGUGACUCCGAUAUACAAAGUUAUAGAGGAGGAAGCUCACAGGAGCAAGACAAUGAAGUCAAAACACUCACACUGGAGGAACUACGAUGAUCUAAAUGAGUACUUUUGGAAAGUUGACUGCUUCCGGCUUGGAUGGCCCAUGAGAGCUGAUGCAGAUUUUUUCAAAACUCCCAAAUUUGCUUAUCCUAAUCGUCUGAAUGGAGAGGAAAGAUCUGCUGGCAGUGUCCAUUGGAUGGGAAAGAUUAAUUUUGUCGAGAUACGUUCAUUUUGGCACAUAUUCCGUAGUUUUGAUAGAAUGUGGAUCUUCUUAAUUUUAUCCUUGCAGGCUAUGAUUAUUAUUGCAUGGAAUGGUGGCACACCAAGUGAUAUCUUUGAUGCUGGAGUUUUCAAACAAGUUUUGAGCAUAUUUAUAACUGCUGCUGUUUUAAAGUUGGGUCAAGCCACCCUGGACAUUGUAUUUGGCUGGAAAGCAAGAAGAAGCAUGUCGUUUGCAAGAAAGCUGCGAUAUGUCCUGAAGUUAGUAUCAGCUGCUGCAUGGGUUGUGAUUCUACCUGUGACUUAUGCAUAUACCUGGUCUAAUCCUUCGGGUCUUUCAAGAAUAAUAAAAAGUUGGCUUGGCAAUGGUCAGAAUCAGCCAUCAUUAUACAUUUUGGCUGUUGUUAUAUAUUUGGCGCCAAAUAUUCUUGCGGCUGUGCUAUUUCUUUUCCCAUGUAUCAGAAGGAUACUUGAGAGUUCAAAUGUUAAGGUCAUAACAUUCAUGAUGUGGUGGUCCCAGCCUCGAUUAUUUGUUGGCAGAGGAAUGCAUGAAGGCCCAUUCUCUCUCUUCAAGUAUACCAUGUUCUGGGUUCUCCUUUUAGCGAUGAAGUUGAUAGUGAGCUUCUAUAUUGAGAUCAAGCCUCUGGUACAACCAACAAAAGAUAUAAUGAGAGAACCGAUUCGGAAUUUCCAGUGGCAUGAGUUUUUCCCUAAUGCAAGUAACAAUAUUGGUGUUGUCAUCGCACUUUGGGCUCCAAUAAUUCUUGUCUAUUUCAUGGACACCCAAAUUUGGUACGCAGUUUUCUCAACAUUGAUUGGUGGUAUCUAUGGGGCUUGUCGUCGACUUGGUGAGAUACGGACUUUAGGCAUGUUAAGAUCUCGCUUUGAAUCUUUGCCUUGGGCCUUCAAUAAAUUGUUGAUACCUUCUGAUCAACACAAGAGGAAAGGUUUUCGGGCUGCUUUUUCCACUAAACUUGCUAAGCCUUCUGGUAAUGAACAAGAGAGGGAGAAAAUAGCUGCAAGAUUUGCCCAAAUGUGGAAUCUAAUUAUCACAAGUUUCCGUGAAGAAGAUCUCAUAGAUAACAGGGAGAUGGACUUGCUACUUGUUCCAUACUGCAAAGAUCGUGAAUUGGAUAUAUUCCAAUGGCCACCUUUUCUACUUGCUAGCAAGAUUCCGAUAGCAUUGGAUAUGGCGGCAGACAGUGGAGGAAAUUAUCGCGAUCUGAACAAGAGAAUGAAAUCGGACCCGUAUUUUUCCUAUGCUAUCAGAGAAUGCUAUGCUUCAUUCAAAAACAUCAUCAACACCUUAGUGUUUGGUCAACGUGAGAAAGUUGUUAUGCAAGAGAUUUUUGAAGUUGUUGAUAAACAUAUAGCCGAAGAAACUCUGAUUAGGGAUCUGAACAUGAGGAGUCUUCCAGCCCUGAGCAAGAAGCUCAUUGAGCUACUUGAGUUACUGCAAAAGAAUAAGGUAGAAGACUUGGGUCAAGUUGUUAUUUUGUUCCAAGAUAUGCUUGAGGUGGUCACAAAGGAUAUAAUGGAGGAACAAGAGCUCAGCAGUGUACUGGAUUCCAUACACGGUGGAAAUGCUAAAAAACAUGAAGGAAUGACACCGCUUGAUCAGCAAGAUCAAUUGUUUACUAAAGCUAUUAAGUUCCCUGUGGAGGCAUCAAAUGCAUGGACUGAAAAGAUAAAGAGGCUUCAUCUUCUGCUCACCGUCAAAGAGUCUGCUAUGGAUGUCCCUACAAACCUUGAUGCUAGAAGGAGAAUAUCUUUCUUUGCAAAUUCUCUUUUUAUGGAUAUGCCAAAUGCUCCAAAAGUGCGGAACAUGCUGCCCUUCUCGGUCUUGACUCCUUAUUACAAGGAAGAUGUUCUGUUUUCAUCAGAUAAUCUAGAAGAGGCAAAUGAGGAUGGAAUUACCAUACUUUUCUACUUGCAAAAAAUUUACCCAGAUGAGUGGAAAAAUUUCCUCGAAAGGGUGAACAGAUCUGAGGAGGAGGCCCGUGAUGAUGAUACAAUAGAAGAUGAGCUUCGUCUUUGGGCAUCAUACAGGGGACAAACAUUGACAAGAACUGUAAGAGGGAUGAUGUACUACCGAAAAGCUUUGGAGCUUCAGGCUUUUCUUGAUAAUGCCAAAGAUGAUGAUCUUAUGAAAGGCUACAGAGAGAUAGCUGACAUGAAGGAAUCUGAAUUGAUGACAGAAUGCAAAGCGAUAGCUGACAUGAAAUUUACAUAUGUGGUCUCAUGCCAACAGUAUGGAAUCCAGAAACGUUCUGGUGAUCCUUGUGCACAUGAUAUUUUGAGACUAAUGACAACAUAUCCAUCUUUUCGUGUUGCCUAUAUUGAUGAAGUUGAAGCUCCUAGCCAAGAUAGAAACAAGAAGACCGACAAAGUUUACUACUCAGUUUUGGUGAAGGCUGCUGUUACAAAAUCAGAUGAUCCUGGACAGAGUCUUGACCAGGUCAUCUACAAGAUCAAGCUUCCAGGCAAUGCUAUUCUAGGCGAGGGAAAGCCAGAAAAUCAGAACCAUGCAAUAAUUUUCACUCGAGGCGAAUGUCUCCAAACUAUAGAUAUGAACCAGGAGCAUUACAUGGAGGAGGCUCUGAAAAUGAGAAAUUUGUUGGAAGAGUUUCUGGAGAAACAUGAUGGUGUGAGAUAUCCAUCGAUACUUGGAGUAAGGGAGCAUAUAUUUACUGGCAGUGUUUCAUCACUUGCCUGGUUCAUGUCGAAUCAGGAGACGAGUUUUGUGACCAUUGGACAGCGUGUGCUUGCCAAUCCAUUGAGGGUUCGGUUCCACUACGGCCAUCCUGAUAUAUUUGAUCGCCUUUUCCACCUUACAAGGGGUGGUAUAAGUAAAGCAUCUAAGAUUAUCAAUCUUAGUGAGGACAUAUUUGCAGGAUUCAAUUCUACAUUACGUGAAGGCAAUGUCACUCAUCAUGAAUACAUGCAAGUUGGCAAGGGAAGGGAUGUGGGUCUUAAUCAGAUUUCACUAUUUGAGGCAAAGAUAGCAAAUGGUAACGGUGAACAGACACUCAGCCGUGACAUUUACCGACUGGGGCACCGUUUUGAUUUCUUCAGAAUGUUGUCGUGUUACUAUACGACAAUUGGGUUCUAUUUCAGCACAAUGAUUACAGUUUGGACUGUGUAUGCUUUCCUUUAUGGGCGUUUGUAUCUUGUCCUCAGUGGACUUGAUGCAGCACUUGCUACUGGAAAGAGGUUCGUGCAUAAUACACCGCUCCAGGUCGCGCUUGCAUCAGAAUCUUUUGUUCAACUUGGAUUUUUGAUGGCAUUGCCCAUGAUGAUGGAAAUCGGGUUGGAGAGAGGAUUCAGAACGGCAUUAAGUGACUUUGUGCUCAUGCAACUCCAGUUGGCAUCUGUUUUCUUCACAUUUUCACUUGGGACCAAAACUCACUAUUAUGGAAGGACGCUACUCCACGGAGGAGCUGAAUAUAGAGCGACUGGACGUGGGUUUGUGGUGUUCCAUGCCAAAUUCGCCGAGAACUACCGACUCUAUUCUCGCAGCCAUUUCGUGAAGGGUAUUGAACUGAUGAUUCUGCUUGUCGUGUAUGAAAUCUUCGGACAGACGUACAGAGGAGCUAUCACUUACAUCUUCAUCACUGUUUCCAUGUGGUUUAUGGUGGGCACCUGGCUCUUUGCACCCUUCCUGUUCAACCCUUCUGGAUUUGAGUGGCAGAAGAUUGUGGACGACUGGACUGAUUGGAACAAGUGGAUCAGUAACCGUGGAGGUAUUGGUGUGGCGCCAGAGAAAAGCUGGGAAUCAUGGUGGGACAAAGAGCAGGGGCCUCUUCGUCACUCUGGGAAGCGUGGCACCAUUCUUGAAAUACUUCUUGCAUUGCGUUUCUUCAUCUACCAAUACGGGCUUGUGUAUCAUUUGAAUAUAACCAAGCAGUAUAACCAAAGCGUGCUGGUUUAUGGCUUCUCAUGGGUUGUGAUUCUAGUCAUGCUGCUUGUUAUGAAGACCGUGUCAGUCGGCAGGAGGAGGUUCAGCGCGGAGUUCCAGCUCGUCUUCCGUCUGAUCAAGGGGCUGAUAUUCAUAACAUUCAUCUCCAUCAUCAUAAUCUUAACAGCAAUCGCCCACAUGACAGUCCUUGACAUCUUCGUCUGCAUCCUCGCCUUCAUGCCAACUGGAUGGGGCUUGCUUCUGAUUGCCCAAGCGAUCAAGCCUGUGGUCGAGAUGGUCGGGCUGUGGGGGUCUGUGAAGGCUCUCGCCCGUGGCUACGAGAUUCUCAUGGGGCUCCUGCUGUUCACGCCCAUCGCGUUUCUCGCGUGGUUCCCCUUCGUGUCCGAGUUCCAGACCAGGAUGCUCUUCAACCAGGCGUUCAGCAGAGGCCUGCAGAUCUCCCGUAUCCUCGGCGGCCACAAGAAGGACCGAGCCACCCGGAACAAGGAGUAG